GGGGGCGAAAAGGUCUCGACUGGAUAGGCGGGGCGUUGAUUGCACGCGGAGGAUGAUCGUUGGCCUCCUUAAUCAUCGGUCAAAAAAGUAACUGCGAACACUGAGUACGCACUCGCGGCAUAGUCCACGACGUCUCCUCCCGGACGCCUGAUAAGGGCGGAGGCGCACGCAUCAGGCUGGCAAUGGCCGCCGGGCAGGCGGGCGGCACAGGCGAGAAGGAACAGCACGCUGCCUUCGCCGUGUGUCCGUGUGGCACCGUAGCGGCGGAGUAAGACUCAAGCCCACACUAAGCGUGUAGAUAUCAGCGGUCUGUUUAUUUAGGACGCGGGUUCAACUCCCGCCGCCUCCACCA
This 352-nucleotide small RNA is filed under the name Lentisphaeria. RNAcentral's name for it is "CACZQQ01 sp902783355 Standard tmRNA". It matches the Rfam family "transfer-messenger RNA". From Rfam's summary of the family: Bacterial tmRNA, also known as 10Sa RNA or SsrA, is named for its dual tRNA and mRNA-like properties. Its role is to liberate the mRNA from a stalled ribosome. The record is from RNAcentral. RNAcentral also lists the same sequence under 1 other name. Lineage: Bacteria; Pseudomonadati; Lentisphaerota.